UGCAAGUAGAACGCUGAAGAGAGGAGCUUGCUCUUCUUGGAUGAGUUGCGAACGGGUGAGUAACGCGUAGGUAACCUGCCUUGUAGCGGGGGAUAACUAUUGGAAACGAUAGCUAAUACCGCAUAACAAUGGAUGACACAUGUCAUUUAUUUGAAAGGGGCAAUUGCUCCACUACAAGAUGGACCUGCGUUGUAUUAGCUAGUAGGUGAGGUAAUGGCUCACCUAGGCGACGAUACAUAGCCGACCUGAGAGGGUGAUCGGCCACACUGGGACUGAGACACGGCCCAGACUCCUACGGGAGGCAGCAGUAGGGAAUCUUCGGCAAUGGGGGCAACCCUGACCGAGCAACGCCGCGUGAGUGAAGAAGGUUUUCGGAUCGUAAAGCUCUGUUGUAAGUCAAGAACGGGUGUGAGAGUGGAAAGUUCACACUGUGACGGUAGCUUACCAGAAAGGGACGGCUAACUACGUGCCAGCAGCCGCGGUAAUACGUAGGUCCCGAGCGUUGUCCGGAUUUAUUGGGCGUAAAGCGAGCGCAGGCGGUUUGAUAAGUCUGAAGUUAAAGGCUGUGGCUCAACCAUAGUUCGCUUUGGAAACUGUCAAACUUGAGUGCAGAAGGGGAGAGUGGAAUUCCAUGUGUAGCGGUGAAAUGCGUAGAUAUAUGGAGGAACACCGGUGGCGAAAGCGGCUCUCUGGUCUGUAACUGACGCUGAGGCUCGAAAGCGUGGGGAGCGAACAGGAUUAGAUACCCUGGUAGUCCACGCCGUAAACGAUGAGUGCUAGGUGUUGGAUCCUUUCCGGGAUUCAGUGCCGCAGCUAACGCAUUAAGCACUCCGCCUGGGGAGUACGACCGCAAGGUUGAAACUCAAAGGAAUUGACGGGGGCCCGCACAAGCGGUGGAGCAUGUGGUUUAAUUCGAAGCAACGCGAAGAACCUUACCAGGUCUUGACAUCCCGAUGCUAUUUCUAGAGAUAGAAAGUUACUUCGGUACAUCGGUGACAGGUGGUGCAUGGUUGUCGUCAGCUCGUGUCGUGAGAUGUUGGGUUAAGUCCCGCAACGAGCGCAACCCUUAUUGUUAGUUGCCAUCAUUCAGUUGGGCACUCUAGCGAGACUGCCGGUAAUAAACCGGAGGAAGGUGGGGAUGACGUCAAAUCAUCAUGCCCCUUAUGACCUGGGCUACACACGUGCUACAAUGGUUGGUACAACGAGUUGCGAGUCGGUGACGGCGAGCUAAUCUCUUAAAGCCAAUCUCAGUUCGGAUUGUAGGCUGCAACUCGCCUACAUGAAGUCGGAAUCGCUAGUAAUCGCGGAUCAGCACGCCGCGGUGAAUACGUUCCCGGGCCUUGUACACACCGCCCGUCACACCACGAGAGUUUGUAACACCCGAAGUCGGUGAGGUAACCUUUUGGAGCCAGCCGCCUAAGGUGGGACAGAUGAUUG
This 1437-nucleotide ribosomal RNA is filed under the name Streptococcus thermophilus. RNAcentral describes it as "bacterial SSU rRNA". It matches the Rfam family "Bacterial small subunit ribosomal RNA". The record is from RNAcentral. Lineage: Bacteria; Bacillati; Bacillota; Bacilli; Lactobacillales; Streptococcaceae.